This is a long non-coding RNA of Amblyraja radiata (thorny skate), 199 nucleotides long. RefSeq lists it as uncharacterized. NCBI's taxonomy places the organism in Eukaryota, Metazoa, Chordata, Chondrichthyes, Rajiformes, Rajidae. The record is from RefSeq and is a predicted model, not a curated record. The transcript has 3 exons.
UCGAAUGGCGUGGCAAGCAAUAUCUCGUCCUGGCCGACUCGUACUCGAACUGGUUCGAGGUGGACCUUCUUACUUCCCUCACGUCCGAGAUGGUUAUCCGCAAGCUGCGAAGACAUUUCUCUACUUUCGGCUCCCCGGUCCGUUUGCAGACUGACAACGGCAGGCAGUUCACAAGCAACGAGAUUUCAAAAGGUUUGCC